RNAcentral lists this ribosomal RNA (254 nucleotides) under uncultured bacterium. Its description in RNAcentral is "partial 16S ribosomal RNA". It matches the Rfam family "Bacterial small subunit ribosomal RNA", at positions 793 to 1055 of the family's 1533-position model. The record is from RNAcentral.
GUCCACGCCCUAAACGAUGUUUACUUGCUGUUUGUCUUUAGGGAUGAGUGGCGAAGCGAAAGCGAUAAGUAAACCACCUGGGGAGUACGCCCGCAAGGGUGAAACUCAAAGGAAUUGACGGGGUCGCACAAGCGGUGGAGCAUGUGGUUUAAUUCGAUGAUACGCGAGGAACCUUACCUAGGUUAGAAUGUGAGAGACGGGUGAUGAAAGUCACUUUCCGCAAGGGCUCGAACAAGGUGCUGCAUGGCUGUCGU